This 508-nucleotide ribosomal RNA is filed under the name uncultured bacterium. RNAcentral describes it as "partial 16S ribosomal RNA". It matches the Rfam family "Bacterial small subunit ribosomal RNA", at positions 29 to 523 of the family's 1533-position model. The record is from RNAcentral.
AUUGAACGCUGGCGGCAUGCCUUACACAUGCAAGUCGGACGGCAGCGGGGGAGAAGCUUGCUUUUCCUGCCGGCGAGUGGCGAACGGGUGAGUAAUACAUCGGAACGUGCCCUGUAGUGGGGGAUAACUAGUCGAAAGAUUAGCUAAUACCGCAUACGACCUGAGGGUGCAAGUGGGGGACCGCAAGGCCUCAUGCUAUAGGAGCGGCCGAUGUCUGAGUAGCGAGUUGGGGGGGUAAAGGCUUACCAAGGCGACGAUCAGGUGCUGGUCUGAGAGGACGAUCAGCCACACUGGGACUGAGACACGGCCCAGACUCCUACGGGAGGCAGCAGUGGGGAAUUUUGGGCAAUUGGCGAAAGCCUGAUCCAGCAAUGCGGCGUGUGUGAAGAAGGCCUUCGGGUUGUAAAGCACUUUUGUCCGGAAAGAAAUGGCUCAGGUUAAUACCUGGGGUCGAUGACGGUACCGGAAGAAUAAGGACCGGCUAACUACGUGCCAGCCGCCGCCGUAA